CCCUUCUCGCCGUCGCUUCAACGACGGAGGUGACGCGCAGGAUAUCGCUAGCAUUCGCGAACACACGCAGGGGCUCCGUGCCUUGUGCUCGCCGUCGCUGCAACGAUGAAGGCGACGCCCAGGAGCUCCGCCCCCGCCAUCGUGUCCGGCUCGCUGGUGCAGAUUGCAGAAAAGUUUAAUUCGAGUAAAUGGGCACCUGACAUGAAGGAGGCGGUCGAAGAGCUGCAGGGAGUAGACGCCCUCCUAUAGGCGAAGCUUAACUAAUUUUCAUGGCAUUUAUAGUGUCGAGGCUUGCUUUGGCCUGCCAAAUUUCUGCAGCAGUCUAUCUUCAUGCUGGAGCUUGCCGCGUCGAGUGGUUGCGGCUUAGAUAGGGGUUUGCCUGUGCUAUACAUUAAGCAGUCCAUCUGCACGGGUGAACAAUAUCAUCUCCAGGGAUGAGGGUGGCCGGAGCUCUUUCUAAGGGGCCAGUCACCUCCUGGAGUCGAUUGACAUGGACCUCAUGAAGACGGUCUACGUCGCGAUCGAUGAGGAGAAGCUCGAGCCACCGGUGUGCCUGGUGCGAGGGCUGUCGGUGCAAGCAGUAUCUCGGUGUGAAGAGGGGUGCGACGGAGAUAAAACAACAUCCAUUCUCUGAGGGCGUGAACUGGGAUCUCAUCCAUUGCAGCACGCCUCCUGGGGUACCAAGGCCCGUGGAAGCAGAGCUUCCCAUGAAGUACAUGAUGCCAGUAGCCAUCGCCAACAACAACAAGAGGGCGGUAGGGGCAUGAACACGAAGUUCCGGAGGGAAGUACCUUGACUUUUGAGUUCUUUUAGAGUUGUGCCUAGCGGUAGAGCUAUUGCUUGCAUACUGUUUGAGUUAGGUCAGUGUGGUGUUGUGAUUUGAUGCGGUUUUGUUUGUGUCAUCACUGUUACUUACAAACUUCUUGCAUCUAAAGUGGCCAAAAUUAGGUUGAUGUGUUUGAUCUCAUGUUGAUGAUGAUUGCCUUUCUUCAAA
Molecule: non-coding RNA, 994 nt
Organism: Lolium perenne
Lineage: Eukaryota; Viridiplantae; Streptophyta; Magnoliopsida; Poales; Poaceae
Source: RefSeq, a predicted model, not a curated record